Penaeus chinensis is the source of this 393-nucleotide long non-coding RNA. RefSeq lists it as uncharacterized. The record is from RefSeq and is a predicted model, not a curated record. Lineage: Eukaryota; Metazoa; Arthropoda; Malacostraca; Decapoda; Penaeidae. The transcript has 3 exons.
GGCGACGUCCCAGCAGGUGGCUCCGUGCAAGUGCGGCGCCUUCAUCUCCGGCGACGCUGGUGACAUCCUGCUGUUCGAGCUUCCCCCUAUUGAAGUGCACAGCUGCGACCAGAGCCACCCUUGCGAGUCCCGCUGCGUCCAGGAGUUCGAAAUGAUGUCUGGAGGCGGCGACUUGGACUUCGUCACUUCCAACAACGCUACUGUUGGCGAGAUUUUGUGCGGAGGGGCGGGAAUGGCCGUCGCUUCCGAAAACGUGUACGCCUUCUACGAGCUGUGCGACGGCCCCUGGGAGCUGACUCCCGUCACGAGUCAGCAGCCCCUCUGCUGCACCGACGCCGCGGAGUACGUUCCCUGCUGAACGGGAACAGCAGUAUACGUGUAGUGCAACUGCAC